Drosophila elegans is the source of this 1508-nucleotide long non-coding RNA. RefSeq lists it as uncharacterized. The record is from RefSeq and is a predicted model, not a curated record. Lineage: Eukaryota; Metazoa; Arthropoda; Insecta; Diptera; Drosophilidae. The transcript is spliced from 3 exons.
UGGUGUUUGAGAUAAAGUCAAAAGUAAAAGUGCUCAAUAAGGCGAGGCAACCGCCAACAGCAGCAGCAGGUAUCACGGCAGAGGAGCCCAAAGCGAAGAUCCCAGUGGGAUUACGGCCAAAUCCAAUGGCUCAUUUUAUUGCCUAGGUGUUGGCCAAAAGUUGUCGCCCCAAGUCCCAAGAAGCAACACUAUUACACCAGAUUAUUUUUCAACGAGUAGACUGUGUGGAAAGAGGGCAAUACACGUCUUCCUUGUUCGAUGCGCAGUUAGAGAUGGAAAUCAUCGAUGUUGGCUUGCGGAACAUCGAUGCUACCGAUGUUUUGAAAACAUAUCGAUGUCGACAUCGAAGUUUCUCCACCUAUAUCAGGUCACUAACUUUAAAAUUACCAUCGCUAGCCAAAAAAAAAUUAAAACAAAAACGCAAAUAUUUACAAUUUUUGAAUUGCAAAUUUGGCGCCACAACGCAUCCUUCCGUUAGGUGCCUCAAGAAUUACUUUUGCGGGCAUUACCCACCACCGAAGUCUAAUCCAUCAUGUCCCCGCCCAAAGCAAUUUACACAAACAUCUCGACUGUUUGUUUACAUUUAAUUUUGAAACCUUUAAUAUCAACUAAAUACCACCGCAUAUUUGUAAAGGUGGUCAAAGCGGAAAUGUUUUGAGUACACAAAAACAAAUAAGUGCUCCACAAGUGCGGUCAGAGCUUUCGUUACGGCACCGAUAUCGGAUGUCGAAGCUAUCCUGAGGAGCUGUAAGGGAAAGGGAAAGACGUGCAGGAGAGGAAAGUACAUCUAAACAAAUCCCAUCAUUCGUUAGAUUUCGCGACUCAAUUAAAAUGUGGUUGGACGCGUGGAAUGCACGGUCCCAAUACCGAAUUAGCUGUACACUGCAUAAAGGUGGCCUAAAACAUGGUGUCUGGCCAGGGAAGUUGGGCAAGGAAUGAAAGCCCAGCUGCAAUUCGUCGACAACCUGAAGGGGCCCGGAAACAAGGGGCAAUGUGUCUGUGGCCGCAGGGAUGAGCUAGUUGCUCGGCACGGGUAUUUGGUCCCAGAACGGGCCGAAAGUAUUAUCGAAUGUGGCUCCUGAUCCUUGGGAUUCCGCUGAUCGUGCUCGUCAUUAACUGCUGCUGUUGCUGAUGCAACUGCUGGUGAUGCUGAUUCUGCUGCCGAAGUCUGCUGAUGCAAUUGCCGAUGCCUGUAGGUUUGGCUACCAACGUCUGUAUAUGCUGCUGGCUUAAGUCUGAAGAUGCUGCUGCCAAAGUGCGCAAGACUACUGCUGGUUGCUGCUUAUUGCUGCUAAUGCUUCUGCUUGCUUCGGAUUGCUGCGGAUUGCUGCUACGUGGCAGGUGCAGGCUUAGAUGAUUUAGCUGAGUCCACGCGGAGCAGCAAAUCUGAAACAAUCACAAUUGCAUCAGCCACCGCCUGCAGCAGCCACAAACAGCUCCUUGAUGCAAACAAAGACAAUUUUUUGCUUUUAUUUAUUUAAUAAAGCUUAUGUUGUUUUUAAUUUUUU